GAAAUGCGAUAAGUAAUGUGAAUUGCAGAAUUCAGUGAAUCAUCGAAUCUUUGAACGCACCUUGCGCUCCUUGGUAUUCCUUGGAGCAUGCCUGUUUGAGUAUCAUGAAAUCUUCAAUGUAAAUCUUUUGUUAACUCAAUUGGUUUCUACUUUGGUAUUGGAGGUCUUUGCAGCUUCACACCUGCUCCUCUUUGUUCAUUAGCUGGAUCUCAGUGUUAUGCUUGGUUCCACUCGGCGUGAUAAGUUAUCUAUCGCUGAGGACACUGUAAAAGGUGGCCAAGGUAAAUGCAGAUGAACCGCUUCUAAUAGUCCAUUGACUUGGACAAUACUUUUAUGAUCUGAUCUCAAAUCAGGUAGGACUACCCGCUGAACUUAAGC
This 378-nucleotide unclassified non-coding RNA is filed under the name plant metagenome. Its description in RNAcentral is "partial contains 5.8S ribosomal RNA, internal transcribed spacer 2, and large subunit ribosomal RNA". The stretch from base 1 to 105 matches the Rfam family "5.8S ribosomal RNA", at positions 50 to 154 of the family's 154-position model. The record is from RNAcentral.